Molecule: long non-coding RNA, 923 nt
Filed under: Nicotiana benthamiana
Lineage: Eukaryota; Viridiplantae; Streptophyta; Magnoliopsida; Solanales; Solanaceae
Description: long non-coding RNA (NBEN_LNC004728)
Source: RNAcentral
CUAGACCCGUCCAUCAGAAAAACGGGGGACCUUUUUGGUCUUCUUCAUCUUAAUUUCUGAAAAAACACCACAAAACCAGAAACUCCCUUCACUCAUGCACACUCAAUUUUCACUCUCGAAUCGAAGACGCACAUAGAGAAACGCCAAAGAUUUAAAGAGCAAACUUUUCAAAAUUUCAAAGAAAACAUAACAGAUCUAAAAGUCCGAAAAAAAGAGUUUCGAACAAAAUCAAAAGAAGAAGAAAGCUGGAAUUAGAGGGAUCGGCUUCGAUUUCUCUUGGCUUGGUGUUGAUUUUCUGGUUUUAGAUCAGGUGUUCUGCCGAUGUUCUUCUAUGCUGGGGCUUGAACUUUAAAUCCUCUGUUCUCGGACCUUUACCUGGUCAGUUUCUGCUAUUACUUUGCUGUUAGGUGUGCCGGGUUCCUCUAUAAUUACUUACCGAAGCCGUUCAAUUAAGUUCUGAGUUGCUUACGCUGUAUUGAUGCCUAACUUUGUGCAAUUGCCGUGCUUAAUUAUUGGAGUUAUUUACAUCUGUUAAGUCUGCCAACAUUUAGUUUUGAUUGUCUGUUGUUGAACGGAAAAUUUGAGUAUGAGGUCGUUCAUUAUACUCGAAUAUUAUGCUACAGGUUUAGUUCAUUUGAUUGUCCACUGAUUUGUUACAACCCUCUUCCUAUAUGGUGUAUUUUGGUUUAUUAGCAUGUGUAAAAUUUUCCAUUUGAUUUAGUUUCAAACUUUGAGGAAUCCAUAAAUCAGUUAAUUCGCCAUGUUCAAGUUAAUUUUGAGUCUGUAGUUUAACGAUUUUCAUCCACUUGAAUUUAUGAAAUGGAUUGCUAGGGGAUUAAAUAUGCCUCGAACUCUCAUAUAUUAGAGCCACUAGAAGCCACAGUGGUUCAUAUUGCUAUACUUACAGUGUAUUCAUUUGAGCU